Molecule: ribosomal RNA, 429 nt
Filed under: Bacillota bacterium
Lineage: Bacteria; Bacillati; Bacillota
Description: Firmicutes bacterium partial 16S ribosomal RNA
Rfam family: Bacterial small subunit ribosomal RNA
Source: RNAcentral
UGGGGAAUUUUGGACAAUGGGCGAAAGCCUGAUCCAGCAAUGCCGCGUGUGUGAAGAAGGCCUUCGGGUUGUAAAGCACUUUUGUCCGGAAAGAAAUGGCUCUGGUUAAUACCUGGGGUCGAUGACGGUACCGGAAGAAUCAGGACCGGCUAACUACGUGCCAGCAGCCGCGGUAAUACGUAGGGUCCAAGCGUUAAUCGGAAUUACUGGGCGUAAAGCGUGCGCAGGCGGUUGUGCAAGACCGAUGUGAAAUCCCCGAGCUUAACUUGGGAAUUGCAUUGGUAACUGCACGGCUAGAGUGUGUCAGAGGGGGGUAGAAUUCCACGUGUAGCAGUGAAAUGCGUAGAGAUGUGGAGGAAUACCGAUGGCGAAGGCAGCCCCCUGGGAUAACACUGACGCUCAUGCACGAAAGCGUGGGGAGCAAACAGG